UACGUAGGGGGCAAGCGUUAUCCGGAUUUACUGGGUGUAAAGGGAGCGUAGACGGCAGCGCAAGUCUGGAGUGAAAUGCCGGGGCCCAACCCCGGAACUGCUUUGGAAACUGUGCAGCUCGAGUGCAGGAGAGGUAAGCGGAAUUCCUAGUGUAGCGGUGAAAUGCGUAGAUAUUAGGAGGAACACCAGUGGCGAAGGCGGCUUACUGGACUGUAACUGACGUUGAGGCUCGAAGGCGUGGGGAGCAAACAGG
Molecule: ribosomal RNA, 253 nt
Filed under: uncultured bacterium
Lineage: Bacteria
Description: partial 16S ribosomal RNA
Rfam family: Bacterial small subunit ribosomal RNA
Source: RNAcentral